Megalobrama amblycephala (Wuchang bream) is the source of this 506-nucleotide non-coding RNA. Lineage: Eukaryota; Metazoa; Chordata; Actinopteri; Cypriniformes; Xenocyprididae. The record is from the annotation of a RefSeq genome assembly.
AGAGAGAGUGUUUUACAUGAGCGACACACGCUUCAGUGCUCUGCAUGUGUUUAUAACUCUGUCAAACAUCAAACAUGAUCAACAACUGUUUUUCACUAGAACUGAACCUACAACCAACAAAAAUGACUUUCAGCACCAUAUUGAUCUGGACGCUGGCAGUAUUAUGUCGAGAAUCUGUUGGUCAGGUGACAGUGACUCAAACUCCCUCAGAGCUGCUCUCUCAAACUGGACAAUCAGUCACUGUGACCUGUAAAACUAGCAGUGAUGUGAACUGCUGUUAUAGUAAUGGACAACCCGGUCUGAGCUGGUACUUACAGAAACCUGGAGAAGCUCCAAAACUUCUGAUUUAUUAUACAAACAGCCGCCAGUCAGGAACUCCAUCUAGAUUCAGUGGCAGUAAAUCAUCUGGAAAGGAAUUCACUCUGACCAUCAGUGGAGUCCAGACUGAAGAUGCUGGACAUUAUUACUGUCAGAGUUAUCACAGUGGUGGUGUGUUCACACAGUGA